AACGUAGGAGACAAACGUUAUCCGGAGUUACUGGGCGUAAAGGGCGUGUAGGUGGUAAUGUAAGUCUGGCGUGAAAUUUUUCGGCUUAACCGGGAAAGGUCGUCGGAUACUGCAUCACUAGAGGACGGUAGAGGCGUGUGGAAGUUCCGGGUGUAGCGGUGGAAUGCGUAGAGAGUCCGGAAGAACGACCGGUGGCGAAGGCGGCCUGCUGGGCUA
Molecule: ribosomal RNA, 216 nt
Filed under: uncultured bacterium
Lineage: Bacteria
Description: partial 16S ribosomal RNA
Rfam family: Bacterial small subunit ribosomal RNA
Source: RNAcentral